CCUCUUUUAGAGGGAGUGGCGCACGGGUGCGUAACGCGUGGGAACCUGCCCUUAGGUUCGGAAUAACUCAAAGAAAUUUGAGCUAAUACCGGAUAAUGUCUUCGGACCAAAGAUUUAUCGCCUUUGGAUGGGCCCGCGUAGGAUUAGAUAGUUGGUGGGGUAAUGGCCUACCAAGUCGACGAUCCUUAGCUGGUCUGAGAGGAUGAUCAGCCACACUGGGACUGAGACACGGCCCAGACUCCUACGGGAGGCAGCAGUGGGGAAUAUUGGACAAUGGGCGAAAGCCUGAUCCAGCAAUGCCGCGUGAGUGAUGAAGGCCUUAGGGUUGUAAAGCUCUUUUACCAGGGAUGAUAAUGACAGUACCUGGAGAAUAAGCUCCGGCUAACUCCGUGCCAGCAGCCGCGGUAAUACGGAGGGAGCUAGCGUUGUUCGGAAUUACUGGGCGUAAAGCGCACGUAGGCGGCUUUUCAAGUCAGGGGUGAAAUCCCGGGGCUCAACCCCGGAACUGCCCUUGAAACUGGAUGGCUAGAAUACUGGAGAGGUGAGUGGAAUUCCGAGUGUAGAGGUGAAAUUCGUAGAUAUUCGGAAGAACACCAGUGGCGAAGGCGACUCACUGGACAGUUAUUGACGCUGAGGUGCGAAAGC
RNAcentral lists this ribosomal RNA (645 nucleotides) under uncultured Erythrobacter sp. RNAcentral's name for it is "bacterial SSU rRNA". It matches the Rfam family "Bacterial small subunit ribosomal RNA", at positions 80 to 760 of the family's 1533-position model. Lineage: Bacteria; Pseudomonadati; Pseudomonadota; Alphaproteobacteria; Sphingomonadales; Erythrobacteraceae. The record is from RNAcentral.